CGCUGCGCGCACUGAUGAGCGAAUACUGAGAGAGCCGUUUGUGCGGUUACUCGUUCGCGCUACUGCUUCCGGUUCCGCGCCCGGAAGGGGGGAGCGGAGGAGCAGAGGCUGCCGAACACCCAUGUGUUGCUCCAGCUCAUCCAUGAAGAAACAGGCAAAGAAAAUUGUUGUGGUGGAGCCAGUGUCCUUUGAAGACGUGACUGUGCAUUUCAUUGAGGAGGAAUGGGCUCUACUGGACCUGGGUCAGGGAGCCCUCUGCAGGAUGUGAUGCAGGAGAAUUAUGAGUCUCUCAACUGGCUGGAAAUCCCUCUGGCCCGCCAGCAGAAUGGUGCUUCUGUUGUGUCAGUCGCUAAAGUGGGUUGAUGAAUGAAGGGAGCACAGGGCCUUCUGGUUUUGUUUACAGCAGCACUUUAACUCGGCAGCGUGGUUGUGACAAGAGGGCUGGGAGAGAACUCUUCUGAUGCCCUAGACCAGGGGUCAGCAACCUACGGCACACAUGUCACUUAUUUUGAGUGGCAUGUGUGGCUCAACACCCCGCCUCCCCCCUAGGCAGGAGCUGGAGCUUUGCAUUUGCCAAGCAGCUGCAGGCUAGAGCAGUGUUUCUCCCCCUUUUUUUUUUUUUUUUUUUUUUGAAAUAAAGC
Molecule: non-coding RNA, 641 nt
Organism: Pelodiscus sinensis (Chinese soft-shelled turtle)
Lineage: Eukaryota; Metazoa; Chordata; Testudines; Trionychidae
Source: RefSeq, a predicted model, not a curated record